UCUUUUAACUGCUCCUGUAAAAUAGUUUUUGUACUGUAAUUAAUUAAACUGCAUUAAGGUUCAAAUUUGUCUUGCAGGGUGAAUAACAGUCAGUCAUCUGUCAGACAGAAUUCAAUACUCUUUCUCCAGGCCAACUAAUUGUCUCCAGUGCAAAUGAUCCUUUGUCAUCCCACUCCCUGAGGACACUCCAGAGUAGUAAUUGUCAUUGUGGACUCCAGCAGGUCUACAUGUUCUGUUAAGAGACUGGAUUCUGAGAGCGAGAUCCUGUGGUGUUCAUCAAAGCUGAAGAGAAGAACUGCAUCUGUGUAAGUUUGAAAUGUGAAAGAAUGUGUGUCUCUGUCUGUCUGGAUCGCUCUGACUGUGAUUU
Danio aesculapii is the source of this 367-nucleotide long non-coding RNA. RefSeq lists it as uncharacterized. The transcript is spliced from 3 exons. The record is from RefSeq and is a predicted model, not a curated record. NCBI's taxonomy places the organism in Eukaryota, Metazoa, Chordata, Actinopteri, Cypriniformes, Danionidae.